This 569-nucleotide ribosomal RNA is filed under the name uncultured Gammaproteobacteria bacterium. RNAcentral describes it as "bacterial SSU rRNA". It matches the Rfam family "Bacterial small subunit ribosomal RNA", at positions 812 to 1381 of the family's 1533-position model. Lineage: Bacteria; Pseudomonadati; Pseudomonadota; Gammaproteobacteria. The record is from RNAcentral.
UCGAUUUGGAGUUUGUUGCCCUGAGUGAUGGGCUCCGAAGCUAACGCGAUAAAUCGACCGCCUGGGGAGUACGGCCGCAAGGUUAAAACUCAAAUGAAUUGACGGGGGCCCGCACAAGCGGUGGAGCAUGUGGUUUAAUUCGAUGCAACGCGAAGAACCUUACCUGGUCUUGACAUCCAUAGAAUUCUGCAGAGAUGUGGAAGUGCCUUCGGGAGCUAUGAGACGGGUGCUGCAUGGCUGUCGUCAGCUCGUGUUGUGAAAUGUUGGGUUAAGUCCCGCAACGAGCGCAACCCUUAUCCUUUGUUGCCAGCGAUUAGGUCGGGAACUCAAAGGAGACUGCCGUUGAUAAAGCGGAGGAAGGUGGGGACGACGUCAAGUCAUCAUGGCCCUUACGACCAGGGCUACACACGUGCUACAAUGGCGUAUACAAAGGGAGGCGACCUCGCGAGAGCAAGCGGACCUCAUAAAGUACGUCUAAGUCCGGAUUGGAGUCUGCAACUCGACUCCAUGAAGUCGGAAUCGCUAGUAAUCGUGAAUCAGAAUGUCACGGUGAAUACGUUCCCGGGCCU